RNAcentral lists this ribosomal RNA (632 nucleotides) under Bacillus sp. (in: firmicutes). RNAcentral's name for it is "bacterial SSU rRNA". It matches the Rfam family "Bacterial small subunit ribosomal RNA", at positions 51 to 662 of the family's 1533-position model. The record is from RNAcentral. Lineage: Bacteria; Bacillati; Bacillota; Bacilli; Caryophanales; Bacillaceae.
AUACAUGCAAGUCGAGCGGAUCUUCAUUAGCUUGCUUUUGAAGAUCAGCGGCGGACGGGUGAGUAACACGUGGGCAACCUGCCUGUAAGACUGGGAUAACUUCGGGAAACCGGAGCUAAUACCGGAUAAUCCUUUCCCUCACAUGAGGGAAAGCUGAAAGACGGCAUCUCGCUGUCACUUACAGAUGGGCCCGCGGCGCAUUAGCUAGUUGGUGAGGUAACGGCUCACCAAGGCAACGAUGCGUAGCCGACCUGAGAGGGUGAUCGGCCACACUGGGACUGAGACACGGCCCAGACUCCUACGGGAGGCAGCAGUAGGGAAUCUUCCGCAAUGGACGAAAGUCUGACGGAGCAACGCCGCGUGAACGAUGAAGGCUUUCGGGUCGUAAAGUUCUGUUGUCAGGGAAGAACAAGUACCGGAGUAACUGCCGGUACCUUGACGGUACGUGACCAGAAAGCCACGGCUAACUACGUGCCAGCAGCCGCGGUAAUACGUAUGUGGCAAGCGUUGUCCGGAAUUAUUGGGCGUAAAGCGCGCGCAGGCGGUUCCUUAAGUCUGAUGUGAAAGCCCCCGGCUCACCCGGGGGAGGGUCAUUGGAAAACUGGGGGAACUUGAGUGCAGAAGAGGAGAGC